Molecule: transfer RNA, 72 nt
Filed under: Fukomys damarensis (Damara mole-rat)
Lineage: Eukaryota; Metazoa; Chordata; Mammalia; Rodentia; Bathyergidae
Rfam family: tRNA
About the family: Transfer RNA (tRNA) molecules are approximately 80 nucleotides in length. Their secondary structure includes four short double-helical elements and three loops (D, anti-codon, and T loops). Further hydrogen bonds mediate the characteristic L-shaped molecular structure. tRNAs have two regions of fundamental functional importance: the anti-codon, which is responsible for specific mRNA codon recognition, and the 3' end, to which the tRNAs corresponding amino acid is attached (by aminoacyl-tRNA synthetases). tRNAs cope with the degeneracy of the genetic code in two manners: having more than one tRNA (with a specific anti-codon) for a particular amino acid; and 'wobble' base-pairing, i.e. permitting non-standard base-pairing at the 3rd anti-codon position.
Source: Rfam by way of RNAcentral
UGGAAUAUAGCUCAGUGGUAGAGCACUUAUCUAGCAUGUAUUGGUCGUUGGGUUUGAUUCCCAGCACUGCAA